UUGAAGACCCCCCCCCCCCCCCACCAAGCUGCCCACCAGAGGCCAAGCUGUACUUGGUGUUUGCCAACAUGCUGUAAUUUCCAGCCUGGUUGCUGUAGCCACAGAGGAAUUUUCAAGGACAAGAACCAGUGCUGGUAAAACUGUGGUCUCUGUGGUUUUCCAUACCGGCUCUCGGCAAGGAUUUUCAAGAAAGGAAUACCAUCUCCAAAUCAUGAUGUGCCAAUAAGCUCCAGUUAGCUGCGGCCUUUUCCCCGGCCGGUAGUCCUGCAAUCUGAAUCCAGGAGAUGCAGCUCUGAAUCCAAUAUUUCAGAAGAAUGAAGAUGAAGCAGACCCAGGAGGAACUGUCUGUUGAAGACCCCCCCCCCCCCCACCAAGCUGCCCACCAGAGGCCAAGCUGUACUUGGUGUUUGCCAACAUGCUGUAAUUUCCAGCCUGGUUGCUGUAGCCACAGAGGAAUUUUCAAGGACAAGAACCAGUGCUGGUAAAACUGUGGUCUCUGUGGUUUUCCAUACCGGCUCUCGGCAAGGAUUUUCAAGAAAGGAAUACCAUCUCCAAAUCAUGAUGUGCCAAUAAGCUCCAGUUAGCUGCGGCCUUUUCCCCAGG
This is a long non-coding RNA of Mya arenaria, 603 nucleotides long. RefSeq lists it as uncharacterized. The transcript has 6 exons. Lineage: Eukaryota; Metazoa; Mollusca; Bivalvia; Myida; Myidae. The record is from RefSeq and is a predicted model, not a curated record.